RNAcentral lists this small RNA (198 nucleotides) under Escherichia albertii. Its description in RNAcentral is "IS009". It matches the Rfam family "IS009". Lineage: Bacteria; Pseudomonadati; Pseudomonadota; Gammaproteobacteria; Enterobacterales; Enterobacteriaceae. The record is from RNAcentral.
UGAAAGAUGCAGAAGCAGAAAAACUGUUUCGGGUACGGGAAGCGGAAGAAACAAAAAGCAGCCUGAUGCAGGUGGCCAGUGAACAUAUUGCACCACUUCAGGAUGCGGUAGAUCUCGAGAUCGCAACGGAGGAAGAAAAAUCGUUACUGGCCGCAUGGAAGAGGUAUCGGGUGUUGCUGAACCGUGUUGAUACAUCAA